ACAACUUUGAGCGGUGGAUCACUCGGCUCGUGUGUCGAUGAAGAGCGCAGCCAACUGUGUGAAUUAAUGUGAAAUGUAGCUCGCUUAGAACAUCUACAUCUUGAACGCACAUUGCGA
RNAcentral lists this ribosomal RNA (117 nucleotides) under Hemiuroidea gen. sp. CG-2013. RNAcentral describes it as "partial 5.8S ribosomal RNA". It matches the Rfam family "5.8S ribosomal RNA", at positions 1 to 116 of the family's 154-position model. From Rfam's summary of the family: 5.8S ribosomal RNA (5.8S rRNA) is a component of the large subunit of the eukaryotic ribosome. It is transcribed by RNA polymerase I as part of the 45S precursor that also contains 18S and 28S rRNA. Functionally, it is thought that 5.8S rRNA may be involved in ribosome translocation. Lineage: Eukaryota; Metazoa; Platyhelminthes; Trematoda; Azygiida. The record is from RNAcentral.